Molecule: long non-coding RNA, 7707 nt
Organism: Marmota monax (woodchuck)
Lineage: Eukaryota; Metazoa; Chordata; Mammalia; Rodentia; Sciuridae
Exons: 5
Source: RefSeq, a predicted model, not a curated record
UGGGUGACCUUAAGCCCCGCCCAGCCUCGUUAGCCGUUUCAGCAUCCUUCAGACUUUCAGGUUCUCUUGCUUUGCCCAUCCCCUGCCGCCCGCUGACCUGGAGCCUUUUCCUGGCUCACCUCUGAGCUGCCCUCUGCCCUCUCUGGAAGCUCAAGCCUCCCUGGCCUCCCUGCCCACGCGGGCGUAGCCCAGGGUCAGCGGGGCUGUGACGAACAGGAGAUUGGAUUAAAAUGUCCGCGAUCUCACGAGGCAUCCAGAAGCAGGCCGCCCCGACGUGGUUCCCAGAGCAACGCUGCCACCGGGAACCCAGACUCUGCCCUCGGGCUUGGCUCCACCCAGUGGCGUGACAGCGCUGCAGUUGCAGGCGGGGUGUGUGGGAGAGAGACAGAGAGACAGAGACCGAGAACACCCAGGAAGAGGGCAUCGUCCAGGUGUGGCUUCCACUGGGAAGGACGUCCCCCCUCCCAGCAGAUCCCAGGGUCUAUUGGCUGUGGCCUCAGGAGAGGCCGGGAUGGGGAGGGCACGCUGCUUCUGAAUCAAUGUCACCCAGGACUGAGCUGCGGCUGGUGGCAGCACCUUGGGCCGAUCUCCUGGACCGUCCUGUGUGACCCUCUCCCCAUCUCUCUGGCCUGUGGCCACUCAGGCCCGCUGACAGCGCACACUGGCCUGUGGUGUGCUGGACAGGUCACCCGGGCUUCCUGGGUGCAGGUCGGGGUGAGCCCCGUCGUUACUCAGCUUCUCAUUGCUGUGACCAAAAAGGUCCUUCAAGGCUCACGGUUUCCGAGGUCCGGUCCACGGCUGGUCAGCUCCCUUGCUCUGCUCGUGUGGAGGCAGCAGCGAGGGCUCCGCUCCUGACCAGAGGACGGCUGCUCAGCUGGUGGCAGCCAGGAAGCAGAGAGAGAGCGAGAGAAGUGCCAGGGACCAAACACGGUCCCCAAGGGCACACCGCUGUCCCCAAGGGCACACGGCUUUCGCCAGCCAGACCCCCGGCCUCAGUCACCGCCCAGGACAGGAGUCCAUCAGAAGGAUCAGCCUGCAGGUUAGGCCACAGCCCCCACCGUCUCAUCGCUGCCCCUGGGAUGCUCCUGCAUUGUCUCCCAUGAGCUGGGGGGACCUCCCGGUCACCACAGCAGCUCCACGGGAGGCUCGCUGCCUCCCAGUAUGAACCCUCAUACUUCCGUUGAAGUGGAGGACAGACCUGUCCACCCACUGAGGAGGCCUAGGUCCGCGAGAGCCCUGCAGGACGAUGCAGUCAUGGAGAGAGCGUGUGCUGAUCCUGCUAUGGACCAUGACCUCGGGGACAGGGCCCGGUGGAAGCAGCUGGACUCGGAACACCGUGUUGUGGGACUCCACUCACAGGACAGGCCCAGGGGAGGCAGGUCUUGGGGACAGAACAGUGGCUGGGGCUGCCCGGGGCUGGCGGGGGAGGGGAAGGGCAGGUUCUUGGGAAUGUUCUGGAGCUGGACAGAAGUCAUGGCUGCACAGCUGUAGUGGACUUGAAGCCACUGAGUUGCAAAGCCAACCCACCAACAGGAGGAGAUGGGAAAGCGUUUCCCUGCCGAGCCCCUCCCUCCAGGCUGGGGCACCUAUGUGAGCCUCUCGUGCUCUCUGCGCGGGAAUGUCCAUGGCUGGGAUUGUGCCAAGGAGUGUUUUAUGUGCGUCUUUCGCAUUGAGGACUCCCACCCUGUGAGUUGGGGGGAUAUAUUAGACCCCCCCUUACAGAGAAGAGCCCUGAGGCUCAGAGAGAAGGUGAGUAACUUGCCCAGGGGCACACAGCCUGGGCAGCUGGGACUUGGCCCGGCUGAACAUUUCUGUCGCAACCUGCAAUGGGGUCGAUUUCUUCCUCUUCCCCGUGCUCGUCCACAGGCCACUAGCCUAGAUAGAAGCUUUUCUUGUCUAGAGGUAGCCCCGCUCAUCAGGACGCAGGAACUGAGUCAAGGAGGGAACAAGCUGUGCUAAAGUGGCCGCCUCCUGUGCCUUCAAGUCCCUGCCCAGCCAGGACACCAGGUUCUGCCACACAGCUGGUGAUGAUAGCACUGCAGGGCACCCUCUCUGAGCCCUAAACCACCCGAGGGCAGGUCGCUGGUCCCAACAGGGGCACAGCUGCCCCCAGGGGGCGCUCUGGAGACUCGCAGGGGUUCCAUGAGCUGACAGCCCCCAGAGCCCAGGACUUCCGGCUUCCUGAUGUCCCAGAACUUGACGCCAGCAAACAUCCCCUGAGGACUGUGGUCUGGAGCGAACCCCAUUUCUUUGUUUGCUCUUUGCAUAGUUACACUUUGGCUAUUCCGGGAAAGCAGCCUCCGCAUGAAGAAGACGUUUUCCCAUCCGGGCGGCCACUGCCCUGUUCUGCAUCGUGGAAAAUGAGGGGCAGCUGCAAGGCCACAGAGUCGCCCAGUCCCUGGGGGACGUGGCGGCGACAGCCUUCCCGGGAGCCUCCCUCAGCACGGCAACCCGCCAUGCCACCCGCUCUGAAGUGGCCGGCUCCUCGCCUCCCUCCUGGCAUCCAGCCGUUUGCUGUGGCUGACUCUCCUGGUCACUUUCUAUUCACAGGAGGGCAUUAUAUCAUUAUUAAUUCAUUAUUAUCAUUAUUAUUAUUAUUAUUAUUAUUAUGUGUGCAGGGUUAUGCUUUCUGUGAAAUUGAUUUUAGAUUGAUAAAAGGAGCAUCACAAAUGCUAUAGAAGACCGUGUUGGCCCGAUGAGGUCCAGACCCUUCCAGCCUUAGAAUGAUCAGACGGGACCUCAGCUAACGUUUCCCCAGGGUCUCAGAAAACCAUGCACAGGCACCUUUUAAACAACCCCAUGCAGCGUCCCGCCCUGCGGCCGCUGGGUCAGAGGCUGCCAAGAGCCUGGCCUCGUGGCCCCCUCCGUCCCUCUGUCCACGGGUCUGGACUCUCAGCAACAACAGACCUGCCGUGUUCAUUGCUUCCCCCUCAAAAGAGCGAUGUGUGCGGGUGGCCUGACUCUGUGCCCGCAGUCUUCGGGCCUCAACUGGCCAACGUGCCCCGGGGACGUUUCCUCCUUGUGGUUUUAGUGGAAGGAAAAAGUGACCCGUGAACAGCCACCGGAGGCUCUGGGCGCCAAUCUCCACGAGGUCGAGUGAGAUCCUGCCUCGUGACACUUCUCCUGUUAAUCAUUGCUCCCGGGCUGAUCUCUCGUCUCCUCCCCAGGCUCUUCCAAGAGCAGCUCGGGACAUUCCGGGCAGGCACCGCCCUCCCAUCCCAGUGGGACACUGUUCACAAUGGCUGGUGUAGAGACCCUUGCAGAGCGGACAGGAGGAGGACAGGGCAGGAGUGGGAGGUGAGGGUCAGACUCCAUCUGGGCAGGAUGGGGACCCUGCAGCCGGAGGUGCUCAGAGCCAAGAGCUGUCCCCGAAGAGCCACACGCACCCAGGGCCCUGGACGUGCCCCUGCCAGGGAAUGGGGCAUGGAGGGGGUGGACUGGGACACAGUGGGAGGGACUCUUCACAGCAGAGAGGGCACCAGAGGCAGGCAGGGAGGACCGUCAGAAGACUGAGGCCGUGAGCCACGGGGCGCCAAGGACCGCCGGAGCCCCGGGAGCAGAGGGGCAGAGCGGGACUCUUCUCUGGAGCCCUCGGAGGGCAGGUGGACAUGGCCCUGCCACAGGGUCACAGCAGUCCUCUGGCCUCAGCGUGGGGGAGGGGGACACGCUCUUCUUGUCUUCAGGUCCGAGCCUGUGGCCGCCGCACCUGGCGCAUCUGGGGCGGCCACAGGAAGCUCACAGAGGCGGGUGCCACAGAGCAGAUGAGUGAGCUGUUCUCCCUCUGGGCACCCCCACUGUCCCCAGAAAGGCUGAGCUAGGGUUGGGAGCUUGAGCACUGUGUGACAGGGGGAAGGCCGGCUGCUUCUGCGCCUUGCCCACGGUGGGGAGGGGGGUUGGACGGCACCCGGGCCUUCUUUUAGCACCAGCUCCACAGGCCCCUCCCCACGGGCACACUGGUGACUGCCGCGGUGGCUGCGUGGAGCUGUCCCGCAGUCCUGGCCCUGCUCGGGUGCACAUGGGCAAGCACACAUGUCCUCUGCUGCACCGAUGACCUCACUCACUCUGUAAGGGCGCUGUCCUUCCCACUUGUCUCUCACUGAACACCGGGCGCCGUUUAGCUGCAAGAGGCUUCCGCACAACGUCAACUAAAACGUCGUCACUUAAACCAUCCGGCUCUGGAGAGCUACAGUGCCAGCCCCAGAAACAGAAGUGUGCUCAGUGGUGAGGAGUUCCAGCUAACCAAGGGACAGCCAAGGUCACACCUCCCGGAAAUGUGACUGUGGGGCCCAAACGCCCGCCACUGCACCGCGCUGCCUCUCGUGUCGCGGUCCCUCCAGCCUCAGGCUCAAGUGUCUCAGGCCACGUCGGCCCCUGUCGUUCGGUUCCGGCCUCCCCUUCUUUCUUCCUUUCAUUUUUGGUUGGUGGCCCUGGGAAUAGAAUGCCAGGCCCUGCACCUGCCAGGCAGGUGCCCUACCAACUGAGCCACAUCCCCAGCCCACUACUCCAUCUUCCUUCAGCUUUAGAACCCUUGGAGUGCAUGACCACUGGCCGAGGACUACAUCUCCCUGCCUCCCUUGCAGCUAGGCAUGGCCAUGUGAUCAGCAGAGAGCUGAGUGAAACUUCCUAGCCUUGUCCUUAUAUUCCCUCUACCUGGCUGGAAUGCAGACGUGCUGGCAGGAGCUGGAGCAGCCAGCUUAGAUCUCAUGGAAACCACAUAUUGAAGAUGGCAGACCAACAAGAUAAAAAUAAAAGAGCACCAGAGUAGCCUGUUAGCCUGAAUUGCUUAAUCGAGGGUGUUUCACAAGAAAGGAACAAAAUUCUAUUUUGUUUAAGCCACUGUUGGCUUGGCCUUUGUUCCAGCAGUGAGAAUGCCACCCUCAUGAAUGCGAACCAUCAUGUGCCCCUGCCCUCCGAGGGGCACAGUCCCACUGAAUGGAGUGCAUGUUGAGCACUGAUGCGGCUGAGUGGCGCGGGCCCUCCAGGAGCACUGGGGCCGUGCAAGCGGGCACCGCAUCAGUGCCCACGUCUUCUCCCGCUGUCUCCACUCCUACCCACGCCUGCCAGGGCAGGCAGCCGCUCCUGUCCCCACCCCGCAUACCUGUGCCCACCAAUGCAGUCUUCUUGAGGGCAGCUCUCAGGAAGCACCAGACCUGCCCAUCUGCACCAAGUGGGCCUGGACAUGUCCUUCCCCCAGGCCCCCCUUUCCCUGGUGACUCCCCACAGCUCCCACUGGACCUGACGAGGUGGACUCUCUGUCCCCCCCGCGUCUCCCAGCUCCCCAGCCGGCCAGAGCUCUCCCCAGCAUGCCAAGAGUCCUGAGCUCCUCAAGUGCUUGACUGAGCCAGGACUGGACUGGACACUCUGUUGGCAGCACUAACUGAUGCAUGGAAGCCACCGUCCUCCUCUGCCCCUGACUGGCGAGAGCACCUGGGCCAGCAGCACCCUGUGUGAGCUCUGCCCUCCCCUGGAAGGCAAGGUCAAGGAGUGCUGACCUGCAGUGCCCACCACCUGCAGCCGCCCGAAAUGCAGGCCUAAGACGGAACUCGGGAAAAGGACGAGGCACCCUCUUGUGCCUCGGAGCACGUGAUUUGUGGGAAAUCUGUCCCUGGCGCUAGGAGGGCCUCUCCUGGUGCCUUCUGCUCCGUGAUGGAGGGGACAGCCAGCUAAAGCUUCCACUCUGCAGCCCUGCUCAGCAGGCCUCGGUGCUGGACAUCUUGAUGCCCGAGGGGCCUCCCUCCCCUCCCCAGACUGAGCUGAGAAAGCACCCCUCCCUGGACCUCGGGUUCAGCCUGGCCUGAAACCGGAAGGAGGGAGGCUGGCCGUGGUCUUGACCAAAGGCCCCUCGUCCCUCCUGCGACUGAGUCCAGGAUCCCAGAGAACUGUGCUUCCUGCCAGGCCAAGCGGGCAGCAGUCAGUAGUGAAGGACUGGGAGGAGCAGAAGGGUCCCAGCUCCAGGCCGUUCAGGGUGACGGUGGCACUGGGGAGCCCAGGUGGCCUCUGCAGACAUCUCCUGGGACCUACCCCUCGUCCCCUAAGCUGGUACCUCGGACUGCGCGGCCCUGGUUCAGGGGGAGGAGACGAGAUGCCUCUUUCGACAUUGGUUCUAAAACACGUUCCUGUUUCAGAAACACUGGAGUGUGAAUUAUAUACCGUGGCCAGUGUGGGCUCAGAGGGGACGUUCUGGACGUAGGUUUCAGCUGGAGGGAAGUGGGCUAAGAGAAAAGGCUCCACUCUACCCAGAAGGGGCCCAAGAUGGGUACUCGGACGCAGGGAGAGACAUCCAGGAACCCCGGGAAGGCCGGCAAGUGUGGGCACAGGUCCUGGGGUUCUGAGCACCUCGGGUUUUCUUCUUGGUGUUGUUCUGUUUCUGAUUUCCUGAGGUUGUACCCGGACAACUAACACAACAGUAGCUGCCAGCAUCUUCCCACAUCAGCACUUCACACUUUGAGCCUCCCAAGAGCCCACUGGGACAGGAACGCUGGGGAUCGCCAUUUGCAGACUAGAAGUCUGAGGCUCAGAGAGAUGGACCAAUUUUCCCAGGGCCACACAGCUAUCUCUGGUGGAGCUGGGAUCAAACCCUUCAUUCUGACCCCAGAACAGAGGUGAUUUUUAAGACCACGGGGUGCCUUCCACGUGGGAUGGGUUUGCUCGUGUGCCCAGCGUGUCUGCGUUGCCAUCCGACGCUGGCUUCCCCCCAGCUAGCAGCCGCGGAUCCUCAGACUGCCUCUCCAGAGCGUUUGGAUCAUGGACCCUCAGAAACUUCCCGAGGACUGCGUGUGAAGUUCCGCAUACAGGAGAGGUCCUGUGUCCCCCACCUUCUGAGUCUGGCCGACUUUGCAAACACGACAAUCGCCAGUUCCAUCCAUUUCCCUGCAAAUGCCACGAUUUCAUUCUCUUUAUGGCUGAGAGCACGCCACUGCGUAUGUACCCUGUUUUCUCUGUCCACUCAUCCUGUGAGGACACCUAGGCUGGUGCCGCAGCUCGGCUAUUGCGCUCUGUGCUGCUGGGACCCCGGUGGGCUGUCUCCCUGUCCCACGUAGGAUGUCCUUGAUCCUUCAGCGAAACCCUGAGGCGUGUGUCCCCGGGGCCUGGGGUGGAGCCUCCACACUGAUGUCCAUGGUGGCUGUGCUCAUUGACAGUCCACCCACAGUGUCCACUGCUCCCUCCCACCAGCCUUUAGUGUUACUUGUGUUCUGGAUUCAGCCUCUGACUGGAGUAAGAUGAAAUCUCAGUGUGGUUUUGAUUUGCAUUUCCUUAACUGCAUUUCUCCUUUUGAGAAGUCUUUUAAUUCGUUUGCCCAUAUAUUAAUUGGGGUUAUCUGAUUUUUUGGUGUGAAGUUUUCUGAGUUCUUUAUAUAUUCCAGACACUGCCUGUGUCUAAAAGUGGAGUGGUGACCCUACGUUUUCUUCUAGGAGUUGCCUAGUUUCUCAUCUAUUUGAGUUGAUUUUCGUGCUGGGUGAGAGGUGAGGGUCCAGGCUCCCUCACUGCAUGUGGACAACCAGUUGUCCCGUGUGUUCAAAAGGCUGCCUUUUCUCCAGGUCAGUGUGUGGCUCCUUCGUCAGGGGUCAGAUGACUGAGGUGUGUGGACUUGUCCCUGGGCCUCCUGUUCUGUACCAGUGGCCUGUGUGUCUGUUUUUAUGCUGGUACCAUGUACUUUUGUUAUCAACGCGGGGAUUUUUAAAAUGCUGAGUAAAAGAUGGAACCACU